UUGGGAAUCUUGCACAAUGGGGGAAACCCUGAUGCAGCGACGCCGCGUGGAGGAUGAAGGGUCUAGGCCUGUAAACUCCUUUUCUCGGGAAAGACUUAGGACGGUACCCGAGGAAUAAGGACCGGCUAACUACGUGCCAGCAGCCGCGGUAAGACGUAGGGUCCAAGCGUUGUCCGGAUUUACUGGGCGUAAAGCGCGCGUAGGCGGUCUGUUAAGUGCACAAGUGAAAGCUCCGGGCUCAACUCGGAAAUUGCUUUGCAUACUGGCAGGCUGGAGGGACGCAGAGGUCUGUGGAAUUCCUGGUGUAACGGUGAAAUGUGUUGAUAUCAGGAGGAACACCCAUGGCGAAGGCAGCAGACUGGGCGUUUCCUGACGCUGAGGCGCGAAAGCGUGGGUAGCAAACA
This 404-nucleotide ribosomal RNA is filed under the name uncultured Fimbriimonas sp. RNAcentral describes it as "bacterial SSU rRNA". It matches the Rfam family "Bacterial small subunit ribosomal RNA", at positions 355 to 774 of the family's 1533-position model. The record is from RNAcentral. Lineage: Bacteria; Bacillati; Armatimonadota; Fimbriimonadia; Fimbriimonadales; Fimbriimonadaceae.